Molecule: unclassified non-coding RNA, 1278 nt
Filed under: Haliotis rufescens (red abalone)
Lineage: Eukaryota; Metazoa; Mollusca; Gastropoda; Lepetellida; Haliotidae
Description: uncharacterized LOC124132877, transcript variant X4
Source: RNAcentral
UGUAUUUUCACCACGGUGAGUGUGAGAUGGAGUUGACAGUUCUGUUACUAACACUGGUUCAAAUUGUCACUGGAGAGGUAACAAUGGAUAUAUCACCAGCAAGAACAACUGCAGGAUCCCAGAUAGAAUUAGUGUGUUGGCAGCAUCAGCAAGCUUGGGAGAGUGUUUGGUAUCGUAAUGGUCAAAAUGUCCUCACUGUGAGUAAGACGAGUAGAAAUCCCUGCAAUGCAGAAUGGCAUAUUGAUACUCUGGAUAAUACGGUGGUCACUUGUCCAGGAAAUAGUGGGCAUUUCAACCUGCGCUUCCAACAGUCUACGAUUGAACUGAGUGGCACAAUAUGGGACUGCAAGAUUGGGGAAAAAGGUAGCAAUAGUGUGACCAUUGAACUGACGGGGGAACCAAACGAUCCAACCAUCUCAUCGACAUUCAACUUUCUAGUUCCCGUGAGUGUAAGCGUGGGAUGUGUCCUGUUGGCUGGAGCGAUGUCUCAUCAUAACCGUCAGAAAACGCAGUCGUCGGAGGUCGUGUGUGAAAGGAACAGCAACACCUAAUGACAGGUACAGAAGCUACACUAUGUCUUAGAUAAAUAGAAUAUUACAUGUGUGUCAGACACAUAAAAUCAUUUCCCAUUUUAAAGAACCUCUAAACAUAAGAAUCAAUGCAUGUAUAGAUGCAAAAAACGUAUUUUUCAGCAUGCGUAAUGAAUUGCAAAAUCCAUGCUUAGAACUGGAAACACAGAAUGAUAUAAACUAUACAGCCAUCAAUACUAAUUUUUGUUUUAUUCGAAGCAAUGACGAGAACACAAGAAGGAGAGAUUUAAGUUUAGUUAUACAGGAAAACGACCUUUAUGAAACAUCCAGUGGUAACAAUGCCUACGGCGUGACUGUUCCUACUGUCGACGAUGCUGUGUCGAGGAGAUCUGCAUUAGUGAUGCAAGAGAACCUGAUAUACGAACAGAGCAAUGCACAUGAAGCAGUGAUGCAAGAGAACCUGAUAUACGAACAGAGCAAUGCACAUGAAGCAGUGCAGAUAGUGGACUCAGAUGAUGUCUGCACAGAGGUUAGAAAGACAUGAAGAUGACACAAUGCUUGACACCAAGGUUAUCCACAGUGCAUCAGAAAACUGGAUGUCUUCAUGGUACUGUCCGAUUAUUAAAGCAGCCCAUGUGUUUUUAAUAUGAAAUAUUUCUUCACGACUGUUGUGUCGCUUGUAUAUAAACAUACUUAGCAUGGUCGCCUUGUCAACUUAAAUGUCAUCUGCUUGAAUUGUCCUUGAUAU